This 77-nucleotide transfer RNA is filed under the name Bacillus nitratireducens. RNAcentral's name for it is "tRNA-Lys". It matches the Rfam family "tRNA". Rfam says of the family: Transfer RNA (tRNA) molecules are approximately 80 nucleotides in length. The record is from RNAcentral. Lineage: Bacteria; Bacillati; Bacillota; Bacilli; Caryophanales; Bacillaceae.
GAGCCAUUAGCUCAGUUGGUAGAGCAUCUGACUUUUAAUCAGAGGGUCGAAGGUUCGAAUCCUUCAAUGGCUCACCA